UACGGAGGGGGCUAGCGUUGUUCGGAAUUACUGGGCGUAAAGCGUACGUAGGCGGCUUUGUAAGUUAGAGGUGAAAGCCCGGGGCUCAACUCCGGAAUUGCCUUUAAGACUGCAUCGCUUGAAUCAUGGAGAGGUGAGUGGAAUUCCGAGUGUAGAGGUGAAAUUCGUAGAUAUUCGGAAGAACACCAGUGGCGAAGGCGACUCACUGGACAUGUAUUGACGCUGAGGUACGAAAGCGUGGGGAGCAAACA
Molecule: ribosomal RNA, 251 nt
Filed under: uncultured bacterium
Lineage: Bacteria
Also listed under: 1 other name
Description: partial 16S ribosomal RNA
Rfam family: Bacterial small subunit ribosomal RNA
Source: RNAcentral